UCCAGACUCCUACGGGAGGCAGCAGUGGGGAAUAUUGGACAAUGGGGGGAACCCUGAUCCAGCGACGCCGCGUGAGUGAAGAAGUAUUUCGGUAUGUAAAGCUCUAUCAGCAGGGAAGAAAGAAAUGACGGUACCUGACUAAGAAGCCCCGGCUAACUACGUGCCAGCAGCCGCGGUAAUACGUAGGGGGCAAGCGUUAUCCGGAUUUACUGGGUGUAAAGGGAGCGUAGACGGCAGGGAAAGUCUGAAGUGAAAGCCCGCGGCUCAACCGCGGAACUGCUUUGGAAACUUUUCGGCUAGAGUACCGGAGAGGUAAGCGGAAUUCCUAGUGUAGCGGUGAAAUGCGUAGAUAUUAGGAGGAACACCAGUGGCGAAGGCGGCUUGCUGGACGGUAACUGACGUUGAGGCUCGAAAGCGUGGGGAGCAAACAGGAUUAGAUACCCCGGUA
This 448-nucleotide ribosomal RNA is filed under the name uncultured bacterium. RNAcentral's name for it is "partial 16S ribosomal RNA". It matches the Rfam family "Bacterial small subunit ribosomal RNA", at positions 330 to 792 of the family's 1533-position model. The record is from RNAcentral.